UACGGAGGGUGCAAGCGUUAUCCGGAUUCACUGGGUUUAAAGGGUGCGUAGGUGGGCAGGUAAGUCAGUGGUGAAAUCUCCGGGCUUAACCCGGAAACUGCCGUUGAUACUAUCUGUCUUGAAUAUCCUGGAGGUGAACGGAAUAUGUCAUGUAGCGGUGAAAUGCUUAGAUAUGACAUAGAACACCAAUUGCGAAGGCAGUUCACUACGGGAUCAUUGACACUGAGGCACGAAAGCGUGGGGAU
Molecule: ribosomal RNA, 245 nt
Filed under: uncultured Niastella sp.
Lineage: Bacteria; Pseudomonadati; Bacteroidota; Chitinophagia; Chitinophagales; Chitinophagaceae
Description: partial 16S ribosomal RNA
Rfam family: Bacterial small subunit ribosomal RNA
Source: RNAcentral